CAGGCCUAACACAUGCAAGUCGAACGGGUCGCAAGACCAGUGGCAAACGGGUGCGUAACGCGUAAGCAACCUGCCUCAAACUGGGGGAUAGCCCGGCGAAAGCUGGGGUAAACCCGCACGGUCCCAAGCGAUCACCUGGUUUUUUGGGUAAACAUUGAUGGGUUUGAGAGGGGCUUGCGUCUGAUUAGCUAGUUGGCAGGGUAACGGCCUACCAAGGCGAUGAUCAGUAGGGGUUCUGAGAGGAUUGGCCCCCACAUGGGUACUGAGAUACGGACCCAACUCCUACGGGAGGCAGCAGUAGGGAAUAUUGGGCAAUGGGCGCAAGCCUGACCCAGCCAUGCCGCGUGAAGGAUGAAGGCGCUCAGCGUUGUAAACUUCUUUUACUCAUGAAGAACUAUGGUCCUGCGGGAUCGUGUGACGGUACCAGUGGAAUAAGCACCGGCUAACUCCGUGCCAGCAGCCGCGGUAA
This 469-nucleotide ribosomal RNA is filed under the name uncultured bacterium. RNAcentral's name for it is "bacterial SSU rRNA". It matches the Rfam family "Bacterial small subunit ribosomal RNA", at positions 43 to 523 of the family's 1533-position model. The record is from RNAcentral.